Molecule: long non-coding RNA, 1748 nt
Organism: Chinchilla lanigera (long-tailed chinchilla)
Lineage: Eukaryota; Metazoa; Chordata; Mammalia; Rodentia; Chinchillidae
Exons: 3
Source: RefSeq, a predicted model, not a curated record
CGCGCCUGGGCGGAGAGGCGGGCUGCUGUCAAAUGCUGCAGGUACUGCUGCGGAGCGCUUGUAACGACCCGGAGUGGCGCAAAGUAACGUCCUCCUACCGAGGUGAAAGCGUCGGGUGAGUGGCGGAGCCGGUCUGCGCCCCACCCCUGAACACGAAGGCGCGUGCUCGAGGACACUGCGGGCGUCGCCGGCGGGCGGCACAGGCUGUUUCCGCAGCGACUCCCGGAAAACGGGUGACACCUGCAACUGGACAACUGUCACCUCGGUGGCGAGGUGCUAUUUUACUUUUUACCUUCGGAAAAGACAUGUUUUCAGCUUUUACACACCCUCUAAAUACAUUUAGAGAAAUUAUAACUUUUCCUCGAGCCUGCUGAUUAUAGGACUUGACUAAGGGACAGAUUAUAGGACUUGAGUAAGGGACAGAGUCAGUACCGUAAGCUUGAGGCGCCGGCCCUCCUUGCCGGGAGGCAGGGUUUAAGGCACCUCCUUCUGGGGACCUGUCACUAUAGAUAGAACGACAAGUAGGAAGAGGCCAGAGUCGCUAACAGGAGGAGCAAAGAGGUGGAGUAAUAGAAACAGAACCAAGGUCUGUGGAGCAACCUCAGCCGUGGAGCUGUGGAGCCCGGAAAGAGAAGCGUGACACAGCCUGACUUCCACUCUGAAGGAGCACUCUGCCUGCUGUGGUAGUUUGACUACCUCCUCAUUUGCCUGAAAAGUCUUCCAGUGUUAGCACUAAAAAUGCCACAUCCUGGGAAAUUCAGGGGUGUGAACAGAACAAAGGUAUCAGGCAGCAGGUCUCUGGCAGCCCCAGGGAAGAGAUGUCAUAAAGAAUCCAGAAGAGGAACUGAGCACACCAGCCUUGCUAAGUUCUCCUCCUCCCACCUCCUUCAUCUACUCUUCUGUGGAUAACAAACACAUCUCCCUGUUUCUUUGAGUUUUAUUUGAAAGCUCCAGUGUCAUGUAAAAGUGAUACUGAAUACAUUUGUAUGCUUUUCUCCUGUUACUCUCUUUUGCAGUGGGGAUCUCAGCAACCUAAUGACCCUAAUGAUGAAUGAGGAAAGAAACCCUUUUCCCCUUACACCCACAGAGGAACAGGUCUCUGGGGAGACAGUUCUUUCCACUUAAUCCACCAUGCAGUUUCCUUUCUCCUGUGUCUUUUCCCCUUGAAAAACCAAAAUGAUUUCUCCUUUCAUGUCCUAAGAUCAAAGGGAUUAAUACUUCUUUCUCUCAUUCCCAAGAAAGAUCAAUAAAUACCCUCCCCAGGCAAGACCCAAUGUUAAUGUUAUUAUAGGCAGCUAAAUUGGAUACAAACAAAUAUACAGUCAGAGGGAAUGGGCUCUCAAGGAAGUCAGCAUACAAUAUUUAUAAAAUAUAAUGACAUCACAGUUGUUGCUGGGGGCAUAACUGAUGAAGGCCUGGCCUCAAGGUAAAGAUGCAGUGGCCAGGCCUACAUGCCUCCCUAAGAGAUAAACAAUAAUUUAAGAUUAUAUUGUAAUUAGCACCACCUGGUCCAGUAAGUCAGUCACCAGAGCACUGGACCUGUCCCUUCUUUGUUCCUUCCAUGUAGCCUUGCAGUGUGACUUGUUUCCCUAUCAGAUCAAUAUUAGCUAAAUGGCUAUACUUAUAAUCCUAUUUUGAUUGUAGUUUGACCCACAUUGUAACUUUGCUGUAUUCGGGACCCCUUCCUGGAAAUCCAAGAGCUAUUCUUUAUUCUUCUCUAUUUCCAGUAAAAUCCCCCUAACAUCUUU